Molecule: ribosomal RNA, 281 nt
Filed under: Serratia nematodiphila
Lineage: Bacteria; Pseudomonadati; Pseudomonadota; Gammaproteobacteria; Enterobacterales; Yersiniaceae
Description: partial 16S ribosomal RNA
Rfam family: Bacterial small subunit ribosomal RNA
Source: RNAcentral
GUUCNUCAANUGACGUUACUCGCAGAAGAAGCCCCCGGCUAACUCCGUGCCAGCAGCCGCGGUAAUACGGAGGGUGCAAGCGUUAAUCGGAAUUACUGGGCGUAAAGCGCACGCAGGCGGUUUGUUAAGUCAGAUGUGAAAUCCCCGGGCUCAACCUGGGAACUGCAUUUGAAACUGGCAAGCUAGAGUCUCGUAGAGGGGGGUAGAAUUCCAGGUGUAGCGGUGAAAUGCGUAGAGAUCUGGAGGAAUACCGGUGGCGAAGGCGGCCCCCUGGACGAAGA